Long non-coding RNA from Fukomys damarensis (Damara mole-rat), 1308 nucleotides. RefSeq lists it as uncharacterized. The transcript is spliced from 3 exons. The record is from RefSeq and is a predicted model, not a curated record. NCBI's taxonomy places the organism in Eukaryota, Metazoa, Chordata, Mammalia, Rodentia, Bathyergidae.
CCUGUCUCAACAAACAAACAAACAAAAAAUGGGUUAUGAAUUCCCCUCAGAACACUCCUCCUGGCUUCUAACACGCUAGGCCCCUCCUUGCCACCUUCUGGGGGUUCCCGAAGCGCCCUUCAGGGUGUGUCCGAGACGUCGCCAGCUGUACUGUGAGUGUGUGCAAGAGGGAGGCAGCCGUGACGGCGUCACAGGCGUCCUCAGCCGCCUCGCUCACUGCAUCUGGCAGCCCUGCGACUUCCAGCUCCCCCACAGCCAAACUGAGCCUGAAAAGUGAACAUCUGGACUGCACUCAGGGCACCUGCCCAGCACGAGCACCCUAGAGGCCCGGGCAGGACGGCUGAGCUCCGCCUCGGAAAGGCGAGGACGCGGGGAAGGAAGCACCGUCCGGGGGCCCACUGAGACCUCCUGGGUGAUCCCCGGUGACCACGCAGCGAGGGACAGGGGUACAGAACGGGGGCGCAGAAGACACAGGGAGCAGACCCGAGGCAGAGGUGGGGUCCGGGUCUCAGGGAUCCGGUACGAGGGGCGCCCGGGCAGAGCGCGCUGCCGGUCACAGGUCCCGCGUCCCUGUCCCCCCCAGGGCCCCCAGACUCGUCCUCCCCGCCCUCCCUCUCCCCCCACCCGGACGCGAAGCAGGCGCUGCAGAUCCCUGAGCGGCUCCCCGCAGGGCGGCUCUGAGUCCGUCUUCCUGGGGCCCCCGCUGCGUCCGAAGCUCACUGGACCCCUUCGUCCUUCUUAAAUACCGAGCCCAGUUCCGUUUUCGUGUUCACAUCACCCACGGGUGGCCAAAGCUCUCUACGCUUAACGAAAAUCCCCCGCUGCCACCAACCCCUGGGUGGAGGAGGAGCGAAUGGCGUCCGCAGCAGCAUCCGGAGCUGGGAGGCCGCAGAGCAGAACAGAUGGGCUUGUGCUUAGGAAGGCGGCUGUCCUUGGAUGGGGCCCCAUCGGUGCCCCGAGCGCAGCUCCCCUCCUGAGACUGCCUUCUGCCAUCCACCUCCCCAGGCCUCACUGAGCCACUGGCCGAAGCCCCGGGCCCCUCCAGCUUUCCAAAGGCUUCCGGGAGGCUCUCUGCUUCAUCGGAAGCCUGAAAAUAAAGUUCCUAUCAAGGGUUAGACUUGUAAUAGCUGCCAGAUAGGGUGGCACAUGCCUGGCAUCCCAGCAAUCUGAAGACAGAGACAGGAGGGUCACAAAUGUAAGCCCAGUCUGGGGAACUCAUCGACAGCAAAUCAGAAAAUCAGAAAGGCUGGGGAAGCCGGGCGUGGUGGCAAGACCAGCCCGGGCUACACAGUGAGCUCCAGGUCAGUC